This 274-nucleotide ribosomal RNA is filed under the name uncultured bacterium. RNAcentral's name for it is "partial 16S ribosomal RNA". It matches the Rfam family "Bacterial small subunit ribosomal RNA", at positions 524 to 796 of the family's 1533-position model. The record is from RNAcentral.
UACGUAGGGCGCAAGCGUUGUCCGGAAUUAUUGGGCGUAAAGAGCUCGUAGGUGGCUUGUCGCGUCUGCCGUGAAAUCCUAUCGGCUUAACCGUGGGUCUGCGGUGGAUACGGGCUGGCUUGAGGUAGGUAGGGGCAAGCGGAAUUCCUGGUGUAGCGGUGAAAUGCGCAGAUAUCAGGAGGAACACCGGUGGCGAAGGCGGCUUGCUGGGCCUUACCUGACGCUGAGGAGCGAAAGCGUGGGGAGCGAACAGGAUUAGAAACCCCCGUAGUCC